This 465-nucleotide ribosomal RNA is filed under the name Vreelandella stevensii. RNAcentral's name for it is "partial 16S ribosomal RNA". It matches the Rfam family "Bacterial small subunit ribosomal RNA", at positions 338 to 795 of the family's 1533-position model. Lineage: Bacteria; Pseudomonadati; Pseudomonadota; Gammaproteobacteria; Oceanospirillales; Halomonadaceae. The record is from RNAcentral.
CCUACGGGCUGCAGCAGUGGGGAAUAGUGGACAAUGGGCGAAAGCCUGAUCCAGCCAUGCCGCGUGUGUGAAGAAGGCCUUCGGGUUGUAAAGCACUUUCAGUGGGGAAGAAAGCCUUGGGGCUAAUACCCUCGAGGAAGGACAUCACCCACAGAAGAAGCACCGGCUAACUCCGUGCCAGCAGCCGCGGUAAUACGGAGGGUGCGAGCGUUAAUCGGAAUUACUGGGCGUAAAGCGCGCGUAGGCGGUCUGAUAAGCCGGUUGUGAAAGCCCCGGGCUCAACCUGGGAACGGCAUCCGGAACUGUCAGGCUAGAGUGCAGGAGAGGAAGGUAGAAUUCCCGGUGUAGCGGUGAAAUGCGUAGAGAUCGGGAGGAAUACCAGUGGCGAAGGCGGCCUUCUGGACUGACACUGACGCUGAGGUGCGAAAGCGUGGGUAGCAAACAGGAUUAGAUACCCUGGUAGUC